RNAcentral lists this ribosomal RNA (140 nucleotides) under uncultured eukaryote. RNAcentral's name for it is "partial 18S ribosomal RNA". It matches the Rfam family "Eukaryotic small subunit ribosomal RNA", at positions 1299 to 1458 of the family's 1831-position model. The record is from RNAcentral.
UGGUGGAGUGAUUUGUCAGGUUAAUUCCGUUAACGAACGAGACCUCGGCCUAUUAAAUAGUGGUAGAUAUCUUCGUGAUAACUAUACACUUCUUAGAGGGACUUCGUGUGUUUAGCACGAGGAAGUUCGAGGCAAUAACA